AGUAUUCUCUUCUCUCCAUCCCAAGCCGUAUCGUUUUAUCGAGUGAAGCGAGAAACUAUUCGCAAAUGGUUACGCCAAAAGAAGUAGAACAGAAGAAUCGAGAGGGGCUCCUUCUCUUCUCGAGGAAACCGUCCAGUACCGUUUAUCGCUUCGUGGUAUCGGGUACAAACCGUCGGAGAGCUGAAAAACCCUGGAGGUUGAGUUCAAAGUGCACCAAUUUGGAUAAACUCUCGUACGACCCUUUUUCCCCCGUGUAAAACUCAACCCUCAAGAUCGUACCUUACGAUAACAAUUUUCCACCUCCGUUUCUCUUCGGGCUUUAUUUGUCUCGAACAAACUUUGAAAUUUCACUGGAGAGAAUUUUUCUUCUCCAAUUGAAUUCCGUUUAAUUCACGACAUGUGUUACGUACAUGUCGGCCAUUUUUCAAAUUGCAUAGUGAAUUUUUCUCACCUGAGUGGAAAGGAAAAUUAAGAUAUUUUAGUGAAACAGUUAAUCGUUAUUUUAUUUAACUCUUGAUUAAUCAUUUUCGGAUUAUUUCGGACGUGAUUACGUGGACUAAUUGAAAUACUGGUGUAUAAGUCGACUGAGCCUAUUGCUUAUCAUAUUCUACCAGCAUAAACCCAUAAAUCCAAUGGGCUAUCGAUUUCACGUGAAAUUGCCAACUAGAAUUUACAACUACCAAGUUGUUGGAAGUCGACGACUCUUGGACGACACUGUACAACUUCGGGUAUUUACCCUCAUACAUACAUGUUAUUCACCCACUGGUACGAGAGUAAUGCACCAACACAGGAUGGCGCACGUGCGACGAGUUUACAGCCACCUCCUCCCCUUGGCACCCCUCUGGAGCGACUGUGUACUAACACCAUCUCCGGACGCGAUAAUAAUUUCUAGGCCUGUGCCUCCUCCAACAAACCAGACUAUACCUUUCCACGAACAAAGGGCACGUAGUCAAGCGGUAUAACGCAUUACGCCAUUUUGCACGGUGAAAACCUGGCAGCUACCUUAGUGUAGUGGUGAAGAAAAAAUAGGGAGGAGGGAGAGUCAAACAAGGCGAGUUGUUAAGGGAUAAAUUUCGAGAAUGAAUUCUUGAUUGAAAUAAAUUUUUUUUUCGCGGUGGAAAAAUGUAUUUCGACUCAUCAUUGUCGCGUUCCUAUCUCCAAAUUUAGUAGAAAUUAGUAUGUGGUGAUUAAAUUUAUUUGAGGGCAGAGAAAAUUUAUUCUGACGUGUAAUAAAAUUUACGUCACUCGACUGAUAAGAUUUUAUUUAAUACGGUUUCAUUUGAAGAUGUUUUAGGAAAAAUUCUGACAGUAUUUGGCCAGAAGUGAAGGUAUGAUGAUAUUCAUAAUCGAUCUUCUGAAAUAACUGAACAUGAGUAUUAUUUUUUCAUAUGGUAAUAGCAAUUCGUUGAUGACAAAUUCCAUAUACUGAUUGACGUCAGUGAAAUCCACUUCUCUUGAAAUGAUAUUUCUUGCAUCCGUUAUGAAAAAAUAUUGUCUUAAAGAAAAAUUAAUGUUGAUGAAAUAAACAGUGCAGCGACUCGGGGGUCUGAUACAAAAUAUAAAGGCGAUCACUCUCACUGCUUACCAUUCACACGUUCGGCUAAUCAAUCUCAUUUGGCGAGAAAAAUUCUGAGAAUUUAGCAUUUCUAUCAUGAAGUACCUCUCAAUUUUCAUGUUCAUUGCGAUGCUGUUCGCGGCUGUUACUGGACAACCUGGCUGCAGAGGGCGCAAUGCCAGGUGUCGAUACCAUCAUGAGUGUUGUGGAAGCCUACUUUGUCGUAGAGGCCGUUGUGUCUAAAUUGCGACAUAUUCGAAGGAGAACUACGCGAUUUCCCGGCCCAGAAUAGGAUCCUGAUCGGAGAUUGUUUCAGACAGAAAAUCCACACCACAUCAUCAUCAUUCUUCUACAAAAUUUCCCAUAGAUUUUCUUGGCAAAAUUUACUCUUCUAUUUGGUAAACGUGUAUUUCCAGAACAAAUAAAUAAUUUUCCCAAGAACCCUAUCGUCUUUCUUACCACCUUCCUCCGAAUCCCCCCUAAUUAUUAAUUCAUAUUUAUGCAUUAAUUGAUACCAAUUAAUUAUUCCAAGCCAAGAGCGACGUCAUAUGAGAAGUGCAUAAAUUACCUUCCAUAAAAUAUAUUAAAAAUACAACACAAACUUUGAUAAGACGUUAAUCAUCUGUUAACCAACCGCGAUAAGAUCAAUGAAGAAUACUUUUAUCAGUAAAUUCAUUACCAGCAAAUAUUUAUGUAGAGGAGAAUAAAUUUUAAUAUAAAACUCGAGAGAACUGUUCUUAUAUAAAAGCACCCAUCGCUCUCACCGUCCAUAUUAAUGAUUUGUUUCUGCCCAUUGACAAGAAAAUCAGAAAAAGUUACCUGUGCGUCAUGAAGCUUUUCGCUGUUUCGAUUCUUCUCGCGAUGUUAAUCGCUGUUGUCGCUGGACAAGGCUGUGCAGCAACUGGACGCCCGUGCAUUCGUCAUGAAACUUGUUGCGGAGUCUUGUGGUGCCGAAACGGAAGAUGUGCGCGGUAAAGACCCAUCCAACCGGAAGAGACAGCACCCAGAAUGAGGCGACGAACAGGCAUUAUCAUGGCGAGUCAUUAUCUUUGAACGAUCAUAUUCGGAGAGACUUUGGAUUUGUUAAACUCAUACGUAUCAUUCCUUGAGAAUUUUUGAUGGGAAAACUUUGUUCCUAUAAUCCACAAUUGUUAUGUGAUUAUCCUUCAUGAAUGCUAAUUAUAAAAUACAUAUAUUCAAGCUCAUUCCCGCUUUCUUCUUCAGUACCUUAAUCUACGAAUUAAAUUUGAUUUAGGGGAGUAACUCAUCUGGAUUUGAUUUUAAAAGCUGCAAAAUUUGUUCCUUGAUCUUUAAAAAUAUUUUUUCAAAGGGGAAUUAAAUCGCAGUAAAUAUCUCUGCUGAGAUAAAAAUUUUACGAUAUCUAGAAAUAACCUCUGAAAUAACUGUACCCGACAAUCAUUUUUAAACAUUAUGAUGAGAUAAUACUUACAUUCAUACGUAUUUUGACGUCAAUGGAGACCACUUGUCUCAUUGUAGUUCAAUUUUCCUGCAUUAAAAAAGCAAAUGGACGAUUCUCUUAUCACUUUAAUUCAAUAUGUGUAAAUAUUUUUCAGAAAAAUAUAAAUAUCAAUAAAAUAAGCUUUACGGAGAAUCCGGGGGACUCUCAUCUCUGUUAUAAAGGCGAUCGCCUUCGCCACUCGCGAUCAAAUCCAUCAAUUGAGUUUGUGAGGAGGGAAAUCGGGAAAAGGAACUUCUGCGGCAUGAAAUACCUUUCAAUAUUAAUGUUUAUUGCAACGCUGCUUGCAGCUGCCUCUGGACAACAUCGUUGCAGAGUACGCGGUAGCCCGUGCCGAUUCCAUUAUGAUUGUUGUGGAGGACUAAUUUGCCAGAGAGGGCGUUGUUUCUGAAUAAAACUGAGAAGAAGGAGAUAAGAAAUAAAAUCCUGAACGAGGAUUGCGGUGAACAAUAUAUCAUCCAAUAUAUCAGAAAUACAUAACCAAAUACAUAAUAAAACUAUCACUGAAGUCGACUCUUAGUAGAAGUUCAUCGCAACCUCAACUCAGCAAGGUGACUGAGGAAUACUCUUAUCUGCUCAAUGCAUUAUACCCAAACAUUUGCAUAAGAAGAAUAAAUUUUGACAAAGUAAACUUUCCGCGAACGGGGAAGACUCUGUUCUCAUAUAAAGACGA
Molecule: RNA transcript, 3705 nt
Organism: Diachasmimorpha longicaudata
Lineage: Eukaryota; Metazoa; Arthropoda; Insecta; Hymenoptera; Braconidae
Exons: 8
Source: RefSeq, a predicted model, not a curated record